RNAcentral lists this ribosomal RNA (680 nucleotides) under uncultured bacterium. RNAcentral's name for it is "bacterial SSU rRNA". It matches the Rfam family "Bacterial small subunit ribosomal RNA", at positions 8 to 683 of the family's 1533-position model. The record is from RNAcentral.
AGAGUUUGAUCAUGGCUCAGAUUGAACGCUGGCGGAAUGCUUUACACAUGCAAGUCGAGCGGCAGCGCGGGGCAACCUGGCGGCGAGCGGCGAACGGGUGAGUAAUGUAUCGGAACGUACCCAGUCGUGGGGGAUAACACAGCGAAAGCUGUGCUAAUACCGCAUACGUCCUGAGGGAGAAAGCGGGGGACUCGUAAGGGCCUCGCGCGAUUGGAGCGGCCGAUAUCGGAUUAGCUAGUUGGUGAGGUAAAGGCUCACCAAGGCGACGAUCCGUAGCUGGUCUGAGAGGACGACCAGCCACACUGGAACUGAGACACGGUCCAGACUCCUACGGGAGGCAGCAGUGGGGAAUUUUGGGCAAUGGGGGAAACCCUGAUCCAGCCAUUCCGCGUGAGUGAAGAAGGCCUUCGGGUUGUAAAGCUCUUUCAGCAGGAACGAAACGGUAAGCUUUAAUAAAGUUUGCUAAUGACGGUACCUGAAGAAGAAGCACCGGCUAACUACGUGCCAGCAGCCGCGGUAAUACGUAGGGUGCGAGCGUUAAUCGGAAUUACUGGGCGUAAAGCGUGCGCAGGCGGUUUUGUAAGACAGAUGUGAAAUCCCCGGGCUUAACCUGGGAACUGCGUUUGUGACUGCAAGACUAGAGUGUGGCAGAGGGGGGUAGAAUUCCACGUGUAGCAGUG